Molecule: ribosomal RNA, 756 nt
Filed under: Enterococcus faecalis
Lineage: Bacteria; Bacillati; Bacillota; Bacilli; Lactobacillales; Enterococcaceae
Description: bacterial SSU rRNA
Rfam family: Bacterial small subunit ribosomal RNA
Source: RNAcentral
GUCGAACGCUUCUUUCCUCCCGAGUGCUUGCACUCAAUUGGAAAGAGGAGUGGCGGACGGGUGAGUAACACGUGGGUAACCUACCCAUCAGAGGGGGAUAACACUUGGAAACAGGUGCUAAUACCGCAUAACAGUUUAUGCCGCAUGGCAUAAGAGUGAAAGGCGCUUUCGGGUGUCGCUGAUGGAUGGACCCGCGGUGCAUUAGCUAGUUGGUGAGGUAACGGCUCACCAAGGCCACGAUGCAUAGCCGACCUGAGAGGGUGAUCGGCCACACUGGGACUGAGACACGGCCCAGACUCCUACGGGAGGCAGCAGUAGGGAAUCUUCGGCAAUGGACGAAAGUCUGACCGAGCAACGCCGCGUGAGUGAAGAAGGUUUUCGGAUCGUAAAACUCUGUUGUUAGAGAAGAACAAGGACGUUAGUAACUGAACGUCCCCUGACGGUAUCUAACCAGAAAGCCACGGCUAACUACGUGCCAGCAGCCGCGGUAAUACGUAGGUGGCAAGCGUUGUCCGGAUUUAUUGGGCGUAAAGCGAGCGCAGGCGGUUUCUUAAGUCUGAUGUGAAAGCCCCCGGCUCAACCGGGGAGGGUCAUUGGAAACUGGGAGACUUGAGUGCAGAAGAGGAGAGUGGAAUUCCAUGUGUAGCGGUGAAAUGCGUAGAUAUAUGGAGGAACACCAGUGGCGAAGGCGGCUCUCUGGUCUGUAACUGACGCUGAGGCUCGAAAGCGUGGGGAGCAAACAGGAUUAGAUACCCU